UGGGGAAUUUUGGACAAUGGGCGAAAGCCUGAUCCAGCAAUGCCGCGUGUGUGAAGAAGGCCUUCGGGUUGUAAAGCACUUUUGUCCGGAAAGAAAUCCUUGGCUCUAAUACAGUCGGGGGAUGACGGUACCGGAAGAAUAAGCACCGGCUAACUACGUGCCAGCAGCCGCGGUAAUACGUAGGGUGCAAGCGUUAAUCGGAAUUACUGGGCGUAAAGCGUGCGCGGGCGGUUUGCUAAGACCGAUGUGAAAUCCCCGGGCUCAACCUGGGAACUGCAUUGGUGACUGGCAGGCUAGAGUAUGGCAGAGGGGGGUAGAAUUCCACGUGUAGCAGUGAAAUGCGUAGAGAUGUGGAGGAAUACCGAUGGCGAAGGCAGCCCCCUGGGCCAAUACUGACGCUCAUGCACGAAAGCGUGGGGAGCAAACAGGAUUAGAUACCCUGGUAGUCCACGCCCUAAACGAUGUCAACUAGUUGUUGGGGAUUCAUUUCCUUAGUAACGUAGCUAACGCGUGAAGUUGACCGCCUGGGGAGUACGGUCGCAAGAUUAAAACUUAAAUGAAUUGACGGGGUCAUAGCUGUUUCCU
This 585-nucleotide ribosomal RNA is filed under the name uncultured bacterium. Its description in RNAcentral is "partial 16S ribosomal RNA". It matches the Rfam family "Bacterial small subunit ribosomal RNA", at positions 355 to 1375 of the family's 1533-position model. The record is from RNAcentral.